UUUCAACACCCAGUACACUGAGUGCUACAUAGUGGGUACUCAAUAAAUAUCAGUUAAAUAAAUAAAUGAAUAGAUAGAUGUGAUACCCCGCCUCUUGGUCAAGGUUUCCAGAAGGUGUAAUGGCCUCACCUAACAUGUCCUCUCACAACAGGCUGGCGAGACCUGGCCUCGCAAUGGGAUGGAAGUAAACAAAGAGUGAAUUCUGAAAUCGGUUAAUGCAUGCAGUGCCUGGAAAGGCUGGAGGAAGAGGCAGGCCUCAAGCUGGGGACCAUUCUGAACCUGUCGCGCUUUGGGGCAGAAAUCCCUCCAGCUCACAGAGGGAACUUGGAGAAAUCCCUUCUAACCAAACAAGUUCAUCAGGAUCCAGGAAGUAAUCUAUGGUCACAGGACUGUUGCCUGGAGCCCCAGUGCUCUGACAAAGGGAAGGGUCAAAGGGUUGCUGAUUCUGGGGGAAAUACUGGCUGCAGUAUUGAGGCCAAAUGGAGUUUGGACACUUGGGACCAGCUCUGUACAGUGGACCCUGGUGGAAAUGCUUGGGCAGGCCCCCAUCUUCACAGCAUCACUGUGAAAACCAGCAAGUUGGUCAAGAAGCUGGAUAAGCAGUUCCUUGGCUUACCUGCUUCUUUGCUCUGGGCCUACUGCAGGGAGGCUGGACCACUUGAGGAGGCAGAUGAUCUUGAUCUCUGCAUCCAAUCAUGAACAAGGUUCUCUGAUGAAGAGGGGCUAAACGGCUGAAAUGGGGUAUCACUCAGAAAGUCACAGCCUUCUCCAAGCACCAUGGAGGCUACCCAAGUUACCUGUAAAUACAUGGGGCCUGGCCAGAGAAAUGGGGAGGGCAGUGGUGAUAAUGUGCAGAACCAGGAAGAAGGCAGGUUCCGACACAGACUGAAGGCUGCUGAAGUUUCCAAGGACAGGGGUAUUACUCACCUGCGUAGCAGCCAGGGCCUUAUUCUGCAACGUUUCCAGGCCCAGAGCUGGGUGGCAGUCAGGAGCUACUGGCUGUGUCCCGACAUCUCUCCCAGAAUCCAACCAGAGUGAGGGCCUCCUGUAAGCAGGUCACGGUGGAGCCUACUUCUCACACUCUUAUCCAUCUCCCUCCUCCCUUCCCUUGGGCAGGUGGAUCCUGUGAAACUGCGCCAGUCUAUCCGCACAGUUCUUUUCAACCAGUGCAUGAUAUCUUUCCCCAUGGUGGUCUUCCUCUAUCCCUUCCUCAAAUGGUGGAGAGACCCCUGCCGCCGUGAGCUACCCACCUUCCACUGGUUCCUCCUGGAGCUGGCCAUCUUCACGCUGAUCGAGGAAGUCUUGUUCUACUAUUCACACCGGCUCCUUCACCACCCAACAUUCUACAAGAAAAUCCACAAGAAACACCAUGAGUGGACAGCUCCCAUUGGCGUGAUCUCUCUCUAUGCCCACCCUAUAGAGCAUGCGGUCUCCAACAUGCUACCGGCGAUAGUGGGCCCAUUAGUAAUGGGCUCCCACUUGUCCUCCAUCACCAUGUGGUUUUCCUUGGCCCUCAUCAUCACCACCAUCUCCCACUGUGGCUACCACCUUCCCUUCCUGCCUUCGCCUGAAUUCCACAACUACCACCAUCUCAAGUAAGGCCCCUCUCCCCACAAUGGGUCCCUAGGCAACAACCAUCACCCUCCCUCCUUAAGCUUCUGAUAGCAGACACUGGUAUCUCAGUUUACAUGUGAGUGCUAGUUGGGGAAGAGGUCUGAUGGCUGGGAAAAUAACCACACUGGGAUGACCUUACUCUUUUCCUUCUGAAAUUGGGUCCUCCUCCAACUGGGGGUUUUAAACCUUUAUUUGGGCUCUGGGCCCUUUGAAUAAGCUCUGGACAUUCUCUUUAGAAAAGUACAUAUAUGCAUAAAACUCCUGCAGGCAAUCACAAGGAAGUCAUGUAUCUCUGAAAGCCCCAGACUUUUUCAAGUGUAGUCUACAAACCUCCUAUACCAGAAUCACCUGAGAUGCUUGUUUAAAAUAUAGGCUCUUGAAUUCCACUCCAAAUAUGCUGAACUAAGGUAUCUGGGGGAGCAGGGCCUGGAAACCUGCAUUUUAGUUAAGUGUUCCAGGGGAUUCUGAUGCUGGUGAUCUCAUACCUGAAGAAGCCUAGUUCUGCUAGAGAUCCUCAAAGUGUGGGCAUCAAUCACACAGCAAGCUUUUCAAAGGAGGACUCCAGAUACGGCAAAUUGCAGGUUUGGAGUGGCCCCCGGAAGAUGCAUUGGUAGCAACUCCCCAGCUUAUUCUGAUGCAGAUGGUCAGGAUGGUGGUGACAGGUGUGGGGUAGGAGGGCUGAGAAAUGUGUGAGGCUGGCACAAAUGAAAUGGGAUCUGCACGGAAGCCUCCAGCAUUGGCACUGCAGCGCCGUCAUCUCUCUUCUAGGUUCAACCAGUGCUAUGGGGUGCUGGGUGUGCUGGACCACCUCCAUGGGACUGACACCAUGUUCAAGCAGACCAAGGCCUACGAGAGACAUGUCCUCCUGCUGGGCUUCACCCCGCUCUCUGAGAGCAUCCCAGACUCCCCAAAGAGGAUGGAGUGAGAGACGGCCUAAGUGUCAUCCUGGCUGUCCCUCAGCCAUGGGAUGCAGACACGGCUUCCCGAUUGCACCUAACAAUUUGCCUCCUUCGGCCACACGCCCUAAUGAUGGCACCACCAGGGUAGAGGGAAGGUCGGCUUCCCGGAAAAGGAGGGCCAAGGAUGAGGCUUUCUCCAAACUACUGCCCUUGAUGUCCCUCAAUGGGAUCAGGAGUUAGCUUAAGAAAAAGGAAAACAGCUCCCCAGACUGGAGGCUGGUCAGAGGGAGGAGACCCCUGGUCCUCUGCUGUGGAAGGAGAGGGGUUCAGCCCCAGAUAACUCCUUUGUGGCCUGGGCAGGAUGCAGAGAAUGACAAGGCUGAAAGGAGAGGGACUGGAGGCUGCCUGGCUCCAGCGAGAGCUCCUUCUGGGACCAGAGGGUGGGACGGCCAGGUAUCACUUUGCCCCUUCCUGCCCCAAAAGGCUUUCACAUACCCCACUCAGGCCAGAGCCAAGACACCCUGGCAAAUCGUUAUAGGUCUCAAUUCAUGACAUACCAGAUGCCAGUCGCCACUUCACCCAACACACAC
RNAcentral lists this small RNA (3103 nucleotides) under Pan troglodytes (chimpanzee). RNAcentral's name for it is "retained intron". The record is from RNAcentral. Lineage: Eukaryota; Metazoa; Chordata; Mammalia; Primates; Hominidae.